GACCUGACCGCUAUCGGGGUGGGGCUAAGCCAUGCGAGUCGCGCGCCCGGGGCGCCGGGCGCGGCGCACGGCUCAGUAACACGUGCCCAACCUACCCUCGGGAGGGGGACAACCCCGGGAAACUGGGGCUGAUCCCCCAUAGGGGAAGGGCGCUGGAAGGCCCCUUCCCCCAAAGGGAUCUCGGGCGAUCUCCCGGGAUCCGCCCGAGGAUGGGGGCACGGCCCAUCAGGUUGUUGGCGGGGUAACGGCCCGCCAAGCCGAAGACGGGUAGGGGCGGUGAGAGCCGUGAGCCCCGAGAUGGGCACUGAGACAAGGGCCCAGGCCCUACGGGGUGCAGCAGGCGCGAAUACUCCGCAAUGCGGGCAACCGCGACGGGGCCACCCCGAGUGCCGGGCGAAGAGCCCGGCUUUUGCCCGGUGUAAGGAGCCGGGCGAAUAAGCGGGGGGUAAGUCUGGUGUCAGCCGCCGCGGUAAUACCAGCCCCGCGAGUGGUCAGGGUGAUUACUGGGCUUAAAGCGCCCGUAGCCGGCCCGGCAAGUCGCUCCUGAAAUCCCCGGGCUCAACCCGGGGGCCGGGGGCGAUACUGCCGGGCUAGGGGGCGGGAGAGGCCGCCGGUACUCCGGGGGUAGGGGCGAAAUCCUAUAAUCCCCGGAGGACCACCAGUGGCGAAAGCGGGCGGCCAGAACGCGCCCGACGGUGAGGGGCGAAAGCCGGGGGAGCAAAGGGGAUUAGAUACCCCUGUAGUCCCGGCUGUAAACGAUGCGGGCUGGCUGUCGGCCGGGCUUAGGGCCCGGCCGGUGGCGUAGGGAAACCGUUAAGCCCGCCGCCUGGGGAGUACGGCCGCAAGGCUGAAACUUAAAGGAAUUGGCGGGGGGGCACCACAAGGGGUGAAGCUUGCGGCUUAAUUGGAGUCAACGCCGGAAACCUUACCCGGGGCGACAGCAGGAUGAAGGCCAGGCUAACGACCUUGCCGGACGAGCUGAG
Molecule: ribosomal RNA, 983 nt
Filed under: Thermoproteus uzoniensis
Lineage: Archaea; Thermoproteati; Thermoproteota; Thermoprotei; Thermoproteales; Thermoproteaceae
Description: 16S ribosomal RNA
Rfam family: Archaeal small subunit ribosomal RNA
Source: RNAcentral